UGCGUAGAGAUGUGGAGGAAUACCGGUGGCGAAGGCGGCCUUCUGGACAAAUACUGACGCUGAGAUGCGAAAGCGUGGGGAGCAAACAGGAUUAGAUACCCUGGUAGUCCACGCUGUAAACGAUGUCGAUUUGGAGUUUGGUGGCAUGACUACUGGGCUCCGAAGCUAACGCGUUAAAUCGACCGCCUGGGGAGUACGGCCGCAAGGUUAAAACUCAAAUGAAUUGACGGGGGCCCGCACAAGCGGUGGAGCAUGUGGUUUAAUUCGAUGCAACGCGAAGAACCUUACCUGGUCUUGACAUCCACAGAAUUUUGUAGAGAUACGAAAGUGCCUUAGGGAGCUGUGAGACAGGUGCUGCAUGGCUGUCGUCAGCUCGUGUUGUGAAAUGUUGGGUUAAGUCCCGCAACGAGCGCAACCCUUAUCCUUUGUUGCCAUCGGUUAGGCCGGGAACUCAAAGGAGACUGCCGUUGAUAAAGCGGAGGAAGGUGGGGACGACGUCAAGUCAUCAUGGCCCUUACGACCAGGGCUACACACGUGCUACAAUGGCGCAUACAAAGAGAAGCAAACCAGCGAUGGCAAGCGGACCUCAUAAAGUGCGUCUAAGUUCGGAUUGGAGUCUGCAACUCGACUCCAUGAAGUCGGAAUCGCUAGUAAUCGUGAAUCAGAAUGUCUCGGUGAAUACGUUCCCGGGCCUUGUACACACCGCCCGUCACACCAGGGGAGUGGGUUGCACCAGAAGUAGAUAGC
Molecule: ribosomal RNA, 747 nt
Filed under: uncultured bacterium
Lineage: Bacteria
Description: bacterial SSU rRNA
Rfam family: Bacterial small subunit ribosomal RNA
Source: RNAcentral